GAUGAACGCUGGCGGCGUGCCUAAUACAUGCAAGUCGAGCGAACGGACGAGAAGCUUGCUUUUCUGAUGUUAGCGGCGGACGGGUGAGUAACACGUGGAUAACCUACCUAUAAGACUGGGAUAACUUCGGGAAACCGGAGCUAAUACCGGAUAAUAUUUUGAACCGCAUGGUUCAAAAGUGAAAGACGGUCUUGCUGUCACUUAUAGAUGAAUCCGCGCUGCAUUAGCUAGUUGGUAAGGUAACGGCUUACCAAGGCAACGAUGCAUAGCCGACCUGAGAGGGUGAUCGGCCACACUGGAACUGAGACACGGUCCAGACUCCUACGGGAGGCAGCAGUAGGGAAUCUUCCGCAAUGGGCGAAAGCCUGACGGAGCAACGCCGCGUGAGUGAUGAAGGUCUUCGGAUCGUAAAACUCUGUUAUUAGGGAAGAACAUAUGUGUAAGUAACUGUGCGCAUCUUGACGGUACCUAAUCAGAAAGCCACGGCUAACUACGUG
This 497-nucleotide ribosomal RNA is filed under the name uncultured bacterium. RNAcentral's name for it is "partial 16S ribosomal RNA". It matches the Rfam family "Bacterial small subunit ribosomal RNA", at positions 28 to 507 of the family's 1533-position model. The record is from RNAcentral.